RNAcentral lists this transfer RNA (73 nucleotides) under Nelumbo nucifera (sacred lotus). It matches the Rfam family "tRNA". Rfam says of the family: Transfer RNA (tRNA) molecules are approximately 80 nucleotides in length. Their secondary structure includes four short double-helical elements and three loops (D, anti-codon, and T loops). Lineage: Eukaryota; Viridiplantae; Streptophyta; Magnoliopsida; Proteales; Nelumbonaceae. The record is from Rfam by way of RNAcentral.
GGGGAUGUAGCUCAAAUGGUAGAACGCUCGCUUAGCAUGCGAGAUGUACGAGGUUCAAUACCCUGCAUCUCUA